CCUACGGGUGACUGCAGUCGAGAAUCAUUCACAAUGGGGGAAACCCUGAUGCUGCGACGCCGCGUGGGGGAAUGAAGGUCUUCGGAUUGUAAACCCCUGUCAUGUGGGAGCAAAUUAAAAAGAUAGUACCAUAAGAGGAAGAGACGUCUAACUCUGUGCCAGCAGCCGCGGUAAUACAGAGGUCUCAAGCGUUGUUCGGAAUCACUGGGCGUAAAGCGUGCGUAGGCGGUUUCGUAAGUCGUGUGUGAAAGGCGCGGGCUCAACCCGCGGACGGCACAUGAUACUGCGAGACUAGAGUAAUGGAGGGGGAGCCGGAAUUCUCGGUGUAGCAGUGAAAUGCGUAGAUAUCGAGAGGAACACUCAUGGCGAAGGCGGGUUGCUGGACAUUAACUGACGCUGAGGCACGAAGGCGAGGGGAGCGAAAGGGAUUAGAUACCCUAGUAGUC
Molecule: ribosomal RNA, 446 nt
Filed under: uncultured bacterium
Lineage: Bacteria
Description: partial 16S ribosomal RNA
Rfam family: Bacterial small subunit ribosomal RNA
Source: RNAcentral